This 253-nucleotide ribosomal RNA is filed under the name uncultured bacterium. Its description in RNAcentral is "partial 16S ribosomal RNA". It matches the Rfam family "Bacterial small subunit ribosomal RNA", at positions 524 to 776 of the family's 1533-position model. The record is from RNAcentral.
CAUGUAGGGCGCGAGCGUUGUCCGGAUUUAUUGGGCGUAAAGAGCGUGUAGGCGGCCGUACAGGUCAGCUGUGAAAACUCGAGGCUCAACCUCGAGACGUCGGUUGAAACCGUACGGCUAGAGUCCGGAAGAGGAGAGUGGAAUUCCUGGUGUAGCGGUGAAAUGCGUAGAUAUCAGGAGGAACACCGGUGGUGUAGACGGCUUACUGGGCCGAUACUGACGCUGAGGAGCGAAAGCGUGGGGAGCGAACAGG